UGAGGGCCCUCAUGGGGUUUUUGAUUAUGUGAUUACUUGGCCGUUUUUUAAUGAUUAUUUGAUUAUUAAGCCAAAUAUUUCAUGAUUAUUUGAUUACCUAGGACUGUAUUUUUAGUUUAUGAUUAUUUGAUUACUAAAGAUAAGCAAAUAUUUAAUGAUUAUGUGAUUAUAUUGGCAAAAAAAUGGUGAUUAUGUGAUUACUAGGACCCCCCAUGAGGGGCCUC
RNAcentral lists this long non-coding RNA (224 nucleotides) under Mytilus galloprovincialis (Mediterranean mussel). Lineage: Eukaryota; Metazoa; Mollusca; Bivalvia; Mytilida; Mytilidae. The record is from RNAcentral.